This 256-nucleotide ribosomal RNA is filed under the name uncultured Pseudomonas sp. RNAcentral describes it as "partial 16S ribosomal RNA". It matches the Rfam family "Bacterial small subunit ribosomal RNA", at positions 96 to 354 of the family's 1533-position model. The record is from RNAcentral. Lineage: Bacteria; Pseudomonadati; Pseudomonadota; Gammaproteobacteria; Pseudomonadales; Pseudomonadaceae.
CGGCGGACGGGUGAGUAAUGCCUAGGAAUCUGCCUGGUAGUGGGGGACAACGUUUCGAAAGGAACGCUAUACCGCAUACGUCCUACGGGAGAAAGCAGGGGACCUUCGGGCCUUGCGCUAUCAGAUGAGCCUAGGUCGGAUUAGCUAGUUGGUGAGGUAAUGGCUCACCAAGGCGACGAUCCGUAACUGGUCUGAGAGGAUGAUCAGUCACACUGGAACUGAGACACGGUCCAGACUCCUACGGGAGGCAGCAGGU